AUUCCAUGAUGAGGGCACUUUUUUAACAUUUCUUUAAAUCUUUCCCACGCCUCAUACAAGGACUCGUCCUCUAUCUGGUGGAAGGUAGUGAUCUCAUUCCGCAACCU
Molecule: small nucleolar RNA, 107 nt
Filed under: Gossypium hirsutum (cotton)
Lineage: Eukaryota; Viridiplantae; Streptophyta; Magnoliopsida; Malvales; Malvaceae
Description: Plant small nucleolar RNA R71
Rfam family: Plant small nucleolar RNA R71
About the family: R71 is a member of the C/D box family of snoRNAs containing the C (UGAUGA) and D (CUGA) box motifs.
Source: Rfam by way of RNAcentral